This 495-nucleotide ribosomal RNA is filed under the name uncultured bacterium. Its description in RNAcentral is "partial 16S ribosomal RNA". It matches the Rfam family "Bacterial small subunit ribosomal RNA", at positions 30 to 507 of the family's 1533-position model. The record is from RNAcentral.
UGAACGCUGGCGGCGUGCCUAAUACAUGCAAGUCGAGCGAACAGACGCGGAGCUUGCUCCUCUGACGUUAGCGGCGGACGGGUGAGUAACACGUGGAUAACCUACCUAUAAGAUUGGGAUAACUUCGGGAAACCGGAGCUAAUACCGGAUAAUAUAUUGAACCGCAUGGUUCAAUAGUGAAAGAUGGUUUUGCUGUCACUUAUAGAUGGAUCCGCGCCGCAUUAGCUAGUUGGUAAGGUAACGGCUUACCAAGGCAACGAUGCGUAGCCGACCUGAGAGGGUGAUCGGCCACACUGGAACUGAGACACGGUCCAGAGUCCUACGGGAGGCAGCAGUAGGGAAUCUUCCGCAAUGGGCGAAAGCUUGACGGAGCAGCGCCGCGUGAGUGAUGAAGGUCUUCGGAUCGUAAAACUCUGUUAUUUGGGAAGAACAAAUGUGUAAGUAACUAUGCACGUCUUGACGGUACCUGGUCAGAAAGCCACGGCUAACUACGUG